UACGGAAGGCAGCAGUAGGGAAUCUUCCGCAAUGGACGAAAGUCUGACGGAGCAACGCCGCGUGAACGAUGAAGGCUUUCGGGUCGUAAAGUUCUGUUGUUAGGGAAGAACAAGUACCAGAGUAACUGCUGGUACCUUGACGGUACCUAACCAGAAAGCCACGGCUAACUACGUGCCAGCAGCCGCGGUAAUACGUAGGUGGCAAGCGUUGUCCGGAAUUAUUGGGCGUAAAGCGCGCGCAGGUGGUUCCUUAAGUCUGAUGUGAAAGCCUACGGCUCAACCGUGGAGGGUCAUUGGAAACUGGGGGACUUGAGUGCAGAAGAGGAAAGUGGAAUUCCACGUGUAGCGGUGAAAUGCGUAGAGAUGUGGAGGAACACCAGUGGCGAAGGCGACUUUUCUGGUCUGUAACUGACACUGAGGCGCGAAAGCGUGGGGAGCGAACAGGGAUUAGAUACC
This 456-nucleotide ribosomal RNA is filed under the name uncultured bacterium. RNAcentral describes it as "bacterial SSU rRNA". It matches the Rfam family "Bacterial small subunit ribosomal RNA", at positions 340 to 786 of the family's 1533-position model. The record is from RNAcentral.